This 413-nucleotide ribosomal RNA is filed under the name bacterium enrichment culture clone ALO1_GLFRUDD03FJ0XH. RNAcentral's name for it is "bacterial SSU rRNA". It matches the Rfam family "Bacterial small subunit ribosomal RNA", at positions 9 to 424 of the family's 1533-position model. The record is from RNAcentral.
GAGUUUGAUCAUGGCUCAGAUUGAACGCUGGCGGCAUGCCUUACACAUGCAAGUCGAACGGCAGCACGGGAGCUUGCUCCUGGUGGCGAGUGGCGAACGGGUGAGUAAUGCAUCGGAACGUAUCCUGGAGUGGGGGGUAACGUAGCGAAAGUUACGCUAAUACCGCAUAUUCUGUGAGCAGGAAAGGGGGGGACCUUCGGGCCUCGCGCUCUUGGAGCGGCCGAUGUCGGAUUAGCUAGUUGGUGAGGUAAAGGCUCACCAAGGCGACGAUCCGUAGCAGGUCUGAGAGGAUGAUCUGCCACACUGGAACUGAGACACGGUCCAGACUCCUACGGGAGGCAGCAGUGGGGAAUUUUGGACAAUGGGGGCAACCCUGAUCCAGCCAUGCCGCGUGAGUGAAGAAGGCCUCGGUU